Long non-coding RNA from Mastomys coucha (southern multimammate mouse), 460 nucleotides. RefSeq lists it as uncharacterized. The record is from RefSeq and is a predicted model, not a curated record. NCBI's taxonomy places the organism in Eukaryota, Metazoa, Chordata, Mammalia, Rodentia, Muridae. The transcript is spliced from 2 exons.
GACAAGUAGGCACUGAUUUUUCCGUUUCUGGGCCAAGACGGUGGUACUUUUACAACUGUAAGCCCAGGGCGUUGAAGUCGCUUGCUGGAGAUCACACAGCUGAUAACCACGAAGGUAGAUUCUCACAGUUUCGAACUCCAGAGUCUUCGUGGGUACCCCUUCGGCUGUGUCUUCAGAGCCUGAAGUUCUACAUUCCUUUUCUAUUGGCUCCCUCUCCCUCCUGCUCCGUUGGCCAGAGAAUGGAGGACCUGCCCUGCUAGAUCCGGGUGUUUCUUGGGAGUGGGGGUGUCCCUGGGAGGUAUCUGCGGUUGGGAGCAGAGGGCCGCCAGAGUCGCCCUGUGCUCUGAGCACUGCGCUGCCAGGACGCACGCUCCGGUAAACCGUUUAUCUAAAGACAACUUCUGUUUCUCGUUCCUUGUCUGGAGUUGCCCUGUAGCCAGUAAUGAAAAAUGCGCCCUUU